This 495-nucleotide ribosomal RNA is filed under the name uncultured bacterium. RNAcentral describes it as "partial 16S ribosomal RNA". It matches the Rfam family "Bacterial small subunit ribosomal RNA", at positions 28 to 507 of the family's 1533-position model. The record is from RNAcentral.
GACGAACGCUGGCGGCGUGCCUAAUACAUGCAAGUUGAGCGCUGAAGGUUGGUACUUGUACCGACUGGAUGAGCAGCGAACGGGUGAGUAACGCGUGGGGAAUGCCUUUGAGCGGGGGACAACAUUUGGAAACGAAUGCUAAUACCGCAUAAAAACUUUAAACACAAGUUUUAAGUUUGAAAGAUGCAAUUGCAUCACUCAAAGAUGAUCCCGCGUUGUAUUAGCUAGUUGGUGAGGUAAAGGCUCACCAAGGCGAUGAUACAUAGCCGACCUGAGAGGGUGAUCGGCCACAUUGGGACUGAGACACGGCCCAAACUCCUACGGGAGGCAGCAGUAGGGAAUCUUCGGCAAUGGACGAAAGUCUGACCGAGCAACGCCGCGUGAGUGAAGAAGGUUUUCGGAUCGUAAAACUCUGUUGGUAGAGAAGAACGUUGGUGAGAGUGGAAAGCUCAUCAAGUGACGGUAACUACCCAGAAAGGGACGGCUAACUACGUG